Long non-coding RNA from Gasterosteus aculeatus aculeatus (three-spined stickleback), 714 nucleotides. The record is from Ensembl. NCBI's taxonomy places the organism in Eukaryota, Metazoa, Chordata, Actinopteri, Perciformes, Gasterosteidae.
CAUCUCACCACCAACAACCCGCGCUGCUUGAGUCACGCUCGCGCAGACGGUGGCAGCUCGGAACAAGUUCAACUUCUUAAAGUUUCUCGAUCGGACGCCCACGGUCGUGUUGUGAGGCAUCGAUCGAGCUCCAGCAUGAAGCUCCUGUGGCGGAUCAUCUCCUUAGCGCUCUUCUUGCAGCUUGUCAGUGCUACAGACCUUCAGUGCACCGUCACCCGGGACGCAGACAGAACCCAUUACAGUGUCCCACAGUUCACUGGAGAAGCCUGUGACUUCCGCUGGUGGAACCAGACGAACUUGGCCAAUCCCAGCGGGCAUAGUGAGCAGGUUGCGAGGAGCAGCAACCGGAGCCUUGACACCUACCAGUGCUUCCCCCAGAUGUUCUACAGCAGAACCUGCAGCGAUGGGGUGAACCAAGUCGCUACCUGCACCUGAGAAAGAGCGGCCGCGGCUCCCCCCACACUGACAGCACCGAGGAAGUUCUUGCCAUUGUGUGAAGAUGCCAAUGCUACCAGAAAUAUUCCACUUUACUUUUAAACACUUUAUCUCCAUUUACUCUGCACAUGAAUUUUAGCUUAAUAUAUAUUUCUAUAUGACUAACUUUGCCCUAUUUUUCCAUUUAAGAACUUAUUGGGGUCCAAAUAUGGCCCUGUGGUGUUCCCUUUGUGGUCAGGGUUUUUUUCCCAAAGGAACUUUCCUCCCUCCCAUGGGUAU